RNAcentral lists this ribosomal RNA (468 nucleotides) under uncultured bacterium. RNAcentral describes it as "partial 16S ribosomal RNA". It matches the Rfam family "Bacterial small subunit ribosomal RNA", at positions 28 to 507 of the family's 1533-position model. The record is from RNAcentral.
GACGAACGCUGGCGGCGUGCUUAACACAUGCAAGUCGAACGGAAAGGCCCUGCUUUUGUGGGGUGCUCGAGUGGCGAACGGGUGAGUAACACGUGAGUAACCUGCCCUUGACUUUGGGAUAACUUCAGGAAACUGGGGCUAAUACCGGAUAGGAGCUCCUGCUGCAUGGUGGGGGUUGGAAAGUUUCGGCGGUUGGGGAUGGACUCGCGGCUUAUCAGCUUGUUGGUGGGGUAGUGGCUUACCAAGGCUUUGACGGGUAGCCGGCCUGAGAGGGUGACCGGCCACAUUGGGCCUGAGAGACGGCCCAGACUCCUACGGGAGGCAGUAGUGGGGAAUAUUGCACAAUGGGCGGAAGCCUGAUGCAGCAACGCCGCGUGCGGGAUGACGGCCUUCGGGUUGUAAACCGCUUUCGCCUGUGACGAAGCGUGAGUGACGGUAAUGGGUAAAGAAGCACCGGCUAACUACGUG